AAAAAAGAAGAAGCUUCCAAUCUCAUUUUAUCUCCACUACUUUCUACACCAAAAUUGGGUCCCACAACCCGGUUCUUUGUCUAGAGGAUAGCAGUUGAGUACUAGUGGUGGUCUCGGGUAGAAUUGGUAAGAAGACAUCAAACCUUUUGUAAGCUUCAAAGGUAAUACUUCUUAAAACCCUAAUUUGAUUAGUUUAUGGUUACAUGUUAAUUGUGGCAAUUAGGGUAGAAAUUCGAUUCUUUUUCCGCUGUGCAUGACUUAGUUCUAUCAUGUGAUACCAAACUCCCACUUGGACUAAAAUUCCUAGUGGUAUGAGAGAUGUGGUGUGAGAGAAUAUAUAUGAAACUAGGGCACAUGGCCAAUAAGUCUCCCACUUGUCCUAGUUUACAAACAUCGUACACCUAAACUGUGUAGGUGACCCUCAAACACUUUAGCCAUGAGGGCUUUUGUAAAAUGAUGAGCUUCCAUUGUGGAAUCAGCUAUACAAGUUUGCUUUAUGCUUCUCCAAACUACUGCUCCUCCAUUUAGAGUAAAUACUGAUCCUGAUGUAGACUUUCUAACAUCUUUAUCAGUUUGGAAAUCUGAAUCAGUGUAUCCAGUAAGGAUCAGAUCCUUUGUGUACAUGAGCAUGUAGAAUGUUUUUAACGGCUGUCCAGUGAUCACGUCCAUGAUUGGAUUGAUACCUACUGACCAUCCCUACUGAGUAGCAAAUGUCAGGUCUAGUACAUAACAUUGCAUACAUUAAACUUCCAACAGCGGAAGCAUAGGGAAUAUUUCUCAUAUCCUCAACUUCUUGAGGUGUCUUAGGACAUUGUUCCUUUGACAAAUGAAUUCCAUAUCUGUACGGCAGCAGACCCUUUUUGGAAUUCUGCAUUUUAUAUCUAGACAACAUUUUGUCUAUGUAAGAUGCUUGAGACAUGGCUAGUGUUUUGUUCUUACGGUUUCGAACAAUUUGGAUUCCGAGAACGUAUUGUGCAUCUCCCAGAUCUUUCAUUUGAAAUUGCAUAGCUAGCCAUUUCUUGAUAUCAGGAAGAUAUCCUAGUCAUUUCCAAUAAGUAGAAUAUCAUCUACAUAUAAGACUAAAAAAUGCUAUAAUGGAAUUGACGACCUUUUGUAAACACAAGGCUCGUCAACAUUUUGUUCAAAGCCAUAAGAUUUUGAUCGCAAUAUCAAAUCUUAUAUUCCAGGAUCUAGAAGCUUGUUUUAAUCCAUAAAUGGAUUUUUUAAGCUUACAAACCUUUUGUUCUUGAUCUUGUUUUAUAAACCCCUCUGGUUGAGACAUAUAGAUGCUCUCUUCAAGAUUACCGUUCAAAAAAGCUGUCUUGACAUCCAUCUGCCAAAUUUCAUAAUCAUAAAAAGUGGCGAUGGAUAAGAGUAUUCUAAUUGACUUUAACAUGGCAACGGGAGAGAAAGUUUCCUCUAGUCUACUCCCUCUCUCUAGGUAUAACCCUUUGCCACAAGUCGAGCCUUAAAAGUCUGUACUUUACCGGCAUGGUCUCGUUUUCUCUUGUAGAUCCAUUUACAACCAAUAGGUUUUACGUCAUUUGGUUGAUCUACUAGAAUCUAGAAAGAAUUAAAGUACAUAGACUCCAUUUCGAGGUCCAUGGCUUUGAUCCAUUGGUCAUGAUCUACAUCUUUCAUUGCCUGUUUAUAGGUUAAUGGAUCCUCUAUGCCAUCGUCAGGUAUGACGACUUGAGUUUCAAUUAAACCCAAAUAGCGAUCAGGCUGAUGAACAACCCUCCCACUACGUCGAGGCUCUCUCAACUGUUGAGAAGGAUGUGAUUGACCAGAUUUCCUAGUCUUAUCAACUACUUUAGUGGAUGAACUAGGUUUUAUCUAUAGCACUUUUGGAAAUUUCUUUAAAUACUAGUUUACUACGAGGUUGAUGAUCCCUGAUGUGGUAUUUUAUUUUCUUGAGGAUCAUAAAACAAACCACCUCUUGAUUCUUUUGGAUAACCUAUAAAAAAGCAUAAUUUUGAACGAUGUUCCAAUUUCUUUGGAUUUUGUACCAACACAUGUGCUGGACAACCCCAAAUUUUAAAAUGACGUAAACUGCCUUUACGCCCUUUCCAUAGCUCAUAAGGUGUUUCUGAAACACUUUUAGAGGGAACAUUAUUCAAAAUAUAAGCAGCUGUUUCUAAAGCAUAUCCCCAAAAAGAAUCUGACAUCUGAGAAAAACUCAUCAUAGAGCGAACCAUGUCUAACAAGGUCCAGUUUCUUCUUUCUGAUACACCGUUCUGUUGAGGUGUACUAGGUGCAGAGAGUUGUGACUGGAUUCCAUUUUCUAUUAAAUAGUCUCGGAAUCGUAAGUCCAUAUACUCUCCACCUCGAUCUGAUCGAAGUAUUUUUAUUGUUUUACCUAAUUCGUUUUCUACUUCAGCCUUAUAUUCUUUGAACUUUUCAAGACUAUUAGACUUAUGAUGUAUUAGGUAAAUAUGACCAUACCUUGAAUAAUCAUCAAUGAAUAUGAUGUAUUAGGUAAAUAUGACCAUACCUUGAAUAAUCAUCAAUGAAGCUAAUGAAAUAUUCAUAUCCACCUCGAGUUUUGACAUUCAUUGGUCCACAAAGGUCCGAAUGUACGAGCUCUAAGGGUCCUUUGGCUCUUAGACCUUUUCCAGUAAAAGAUCUCUUGGUCAUUUUUCCUUCAAGACAAGAUUCACAAGGAGGUAAAGAGUUAUCUUCUAACGGACUUAGAAGCCCACUUUUAACCAAUCUCCCAAUCCUAUUGAGAUUUAUGUGACCAAGUCUUAAGUGCCAUAAAUAGGCAUUUAGAAGAAACUUUUUGUCUUUUAUUCUGAGUGUCAGCUAUUCUGAAUAUUUCAGUAUUUAAGACAAAAUUUGCUCUAGUUGGUCUUAACUUAUAUAAGUUGUCUUCAAGUAUAGCAGAACAAACUAGAAUACCUUUAUAGAAAAUGAACGCUUCAUUAAUUUCAAAAGAUAUUCUAUACAUUUGUUCCAAAAUACAAGAGAUAGAUAUUAAAUUUCUUUUCAUUUGAGGUACAUAUAAGACAUUCUUAAGUAUGACAUAUCUAUCUCUAAAAAACAACUUUAAAUCUCCCACUGCUGAAGUUGAGACCAUCUCUCCUGUUCCAACCUUGAGAGUGAUCUCGCCUUCUGAAAGCUUUUUCAAGAACUAUUUUCCUGAAAUGAGAAGCAAAUAUGGUUAGUGGCUCCUGAAUCUAGUAUCCAGGUAAAUUUUCAUAUUCCACUAAACAUGUUUCUACAACUAGUAAAUCAUAUUUACCUUGUGUUUCCUUCUCUGCCUUUUUUUCUGCAAGGUAUUUUGGGCAGUUUCUUAACCAGUGCCCGUUUUGGCCACAAUGGUAACACUUACCUUUUUCUGCAUCUUUCUUACCCUUGUUCUGUUUGGGAGUCUUUCCCUUUCCCUUCUUUUUUAUUUGAGCAUUAGGUUUUGAGGGUCCAGCUUUGGUUUUAGAGGACGAUCCUCUUAUAAAUUUUCUUUUUGUGGUAGCAACAUUUGCUUCCACUUGUUUUCCUUUACCCAUAGUUAGGUUUUGGAAUCGCUGGAGUUCAUUCAGAAGGGUUGUCAAGUUAAAUUCUAUCUUGUUCAAAGACGCAUUCGUUUGGAAUGGAAUGAAGCUCUUCGGAAGAGACUCUAAGAUAAAACUAACUUGAUUAACCUCUUCGAUGGGACCACCAUUCACUUCAGCGAUGUUGAAGUGCAUCAUCAUGUCCAGAACAUGUUCUCUAACAGAGGUCCCUUCCUUCAUACGCUUAGUGUAAAUGUAUUUGACUGCCUCGUGUCUUAAGGACCAUUCUGGUUGCCCAAACAUUCCCCUUAAUGAAUCCAUAAUCUCUUUAGCCGUGGCUAAGGAUUCAUGUUUCUUUGCCAAUACAUCAGACAUGCUGGCAAGAAUGUAAACACGGGCUUUUUCAUUAGCUUUUAUCCAUCGAUCAUAUGCAUCCCGACUAGUUCGGUUAGCAUUAGAGGCAGGGUUUUGAGGACAUUCCUCAGUUAAGACAAAUCUUAAAUCGUCAACCACUAGUAUUGUGUUAAGAUUUGAUUUCCAAGCCGCAUAAUUAUCGCCAUUAAGUUUUUCGGAAGCUAAAAGUUGAACUAUUGAGCUAUUCAUGCUGAAAAACAAACAUAUUCUUUUUAGGAAAAAACUAUAAUCAUAAAAAAUAUCCAAUCUAAUUUAGCAAUUACUAAUAAUGUACCCUUUCAUUAUUUGUAUUUUGCAACAAUAUUUCAAAGGUUUAGAACAACCUUCUCCGAAGGGUAGUUGAUUAUUCCUCCUUUGAACCAAGACAAUCUUGACUAGAUGCUAUCUCAAGAAUAACUCUUUAUUCUUUAUAGCACUUAGUUAUCGCUACUUUAGUCAAGAAUAUACUAACAACUUAGUAAUUCUUGUAAGUGUUACCCACCAUUUUCAGAUUUUAUAGAUUAGAAUCAUUUAUGAAAACUAAUCUAAGAAAUCCUAUCCAGUUUUGGAGUUCGCGGUGUUCCGAAUCCUAUAAUACAACCCUCCGAAGGGAACGUCGCUCCAGGGCAGACAAGCAGGCAUAUUAUAGAAAUCUCACGGUGCGACCUAAUGGAAGAGACCGUGGGAUGUGCUGCCACAAAUCCCUCACCCACUUACUAUGAACUACUUCCCCUAUUCACCUUGAUUUUGAUCCAUGCAAACACUCUCCGAAGGGAGGCCGCUCCUAUGCACGGCACAAAGCCCUGCAUGGACCUCACGGUGUGAACUCUUAGGGACACUAGAGCUAAAAUACAUUAUUUUUCUCUAGUUGAAGUGUUCUAAAAGAAAAAAAUAGGGUAAUCCAAACUUCAAGAUUUAUAUUUAGGCUAACUUAAACAAAUCUUAAGUCUAGAUAAAACAUCCAAGUAUAACCAUUAUACAGGAUUUUAACCUAUGAUGUCUAGGUGAAAAACCAUUUUUAUUACCUCACACCUCUCACGAAUGCUCAUAAAACUAGGUUAACUAGGCUCAAGAACUGAUUACGAUCUCCAGGUAGGAGGUGUUCCGUAAACCGUCAACUUAAGAACCUCCAACCUUAGUCAUCUUAUCUGACUUGUUGACAAGAUUGAACCAGGUGAGCCUUUUGUAACCAGUUUUACAAGAUAUCGACCUAUUUCUAUGAAAAAUGGAAGAUAUGUUUAACCUAAGUGAGCAUGCAUUUAAUCUUUGUUAUUGAUUUUAAAAGUCUAAUUUAUUUUAUAACACUUAUAAAAACUUUUAAACUUAAUCAAUCAUUUUAUCAAUAUAUAAUAAAAACAAUCAAUUAAUAUGGAUUUUAAUUUAUUUAACUUUAAUUAAAUCAUAUUUAAUUAAAUUAAAUCAAACAAUAAUUAAUUAAUUUGAUUAAAUCAUAUUUAAUCAAGAAUAACUUAAUUAAUUAAAUAAUUAAUUAAUCAUAUUAAUUUCCAUAUUAAUCAAUUAACAUGCAUACAAUACAAUAUAACCUUUAUAUCAUACAUUUUAAUGCAUGAACAUGUUAACCUAUGGUGGGAUUUUAAAUCUAUAUGACAUUCAAAAUGCACAUACAAAUUUAAAGUAAUUUAAUCAUACAUCACAUGCAUAAAUAAAAAAAACACCCUAAAAUGGACUGAUUUUUGGCUCCUAAAUUAAGCUAAGUGCUAAAUUAUUACAUAAUUAAUUUGGUGUAGUACAGAACCACUCCCAAAAAUUUCGAACCGGCUAAAAAACCAACCGAAACCGCUUGAACCGGCCCAAAAACCAAAUUUAUUGGCUUGAACCGGCCCAGGCGCACACGGGUCGUGCGAAGGCAGGCGCGCGGGCGAAGGCGGGCGCGCGGCGCAUGCGGGCGCGCGCGGACACAUGCGGGCGCGGGCGCAGGAGGGCGCGCGGGCGCAGGAGGGCGCGCGGGCGCAGGAGGGCGCGCGGGCGCAGGAGGGCGCGCGGGCGCAGGAGGCGCGCGCGGGCGCGCAGGAGGGCGCGCGGCGCGCGCGGACGCAGGAGGGCGCGCGGGCGCAGGAGGCGCGCGGCGCGGCGCCGGCGCGGCGGCGCAGGAGGGCGCGCGGGCAUGCGGGCGCGUGCGGGUCGCGAAGCGGGUCAAAACCGGGUUUUCGGGUCUGUGACCUUCUUUUCUUCAUUUUUUUCAAUUCUCUCACCCGGUUGAACCAAUUACAGCCUAGCUUCAACUCUAAUGACUUUUUUUAUUUUUUAAAAAAUUACAAACACUUUGCAACAAUAAAAAUAAGCCAUUAACAAGGCUAAUUACAAUAAUUAGAACAAAAACACUUAAUCUAGAGCCAAAAUCAUAAUAUAUCCAUUUUAGUUCAAACCAAAAUUUAUCUAAUAAAUAUGAACCCACCACAUGCAAUUGGGUAAAAAUGAAGCAUGCUCUGAUACCACAUGAUAGAACUAAGUCAUGCACAGCGGAAAAAGAAUCGAAUUUCUACCCUAAUUGCCACAAUUAACAUGUAACCAUAAACUAAUCAAAUUAGGGUUUUAAGAAGUAUUACCUUUGAAGCUUUCAAAAGGUUUGAUGUCUUCUUACCAAUUCUACCCGAGACCACCACUAGUACUCAACUGCUAUCCUCUAGACAAAGAACCGGGUUGUGGGACCCAAUUUUGGUGUAGAAAGUAGUGGAGAUAAAAUGAGAUUGGAAGCUUUCUUUUUU
This 6610-nucleotide long non-coding RNA is filed under the name Cucumis sativus (cucumber). RNAcentral describes it as "long non-coding RNA (CSAT_LNC002314)". The record is from RNAcentral. Lineage: Eukaryota; Viridiplantae; Streptophyta; Magnoliopsida; Cucurbitales; Cucurbitaceae.